Molecule: ribosomal RNA, 897 nt
Filed under: uncultured bacterium
Lineage: Bacteria
Description: bacterial SSU rRNA
Rfam family: Bacterial small subunit ribosomal RNA
Source: RNAcentral
AGAGUUUGAUCAUGGCUCAGGACGAACGCUGGCGGCGCGCCUCAUACAUGCAAGUCGGACGAGAUCCAUGGGAGCUUGCUCCCGGAAGAUCGAGUGGCGAACGGGUGAGUAACACGUGAGAAACCUACCCUGGAGUGGGGAAUAACCCGAGGAAACUCGGGCUAAUACCGCAUACCUUCCGAUGACCGCAUGGUCGACGGAAGAAAGAAUUUCGCUCUGGGAGGGUCUCGCGGCCUAUCAGCUAGUUGGCGGGGUAACGGCCCACCAAGGCAACGACGGGUAGCUGGUUUGAGAGAACGAUCAGCCACACUGGAACUGAGACACGGUCCAGACUUCUACGGGAGGCAGCAGUAGGGAAUCUUGCGCAAUGGGCGAAAGCCUGACGCAGCGACGCCGCGUGCGGGAUGACAGCCCUAGUGGUUGUAAACCGCUUUCAGCAGGGACGAAAAUGACGGUACCUGCAGAAGAAGUCCCGGCUAACUACGUGCCAGCAGCCGCGGUAAUACGUAGGGGACAAGCGUUGUCCGGAUUCAUUGGGCGUAAAGAGCUCGUAGGCGGUUCAGUAAGUUGGGUGUGAAAGCUCCGGGCUCAACCCGGAGAGGCCACUCAAUACUGCUGUGACUAGAGUCCAGUAGAGGAGCGUGGAACUCCUGGUGUAGCGGUGAAAUGCGCAGAUAUCAGGAAGAACACCGGCAGCGAAGGCGGCGCUCUGGGCUGGUACUGACGCUGAGGAGCGAAAGCAUGGGUAGCAAACAGGAUUAGAUACCCUGNAGUCCAUGCCGUAAACGUUGGGCACUAGGUGUGGGGAGGAAUCAACCCUCUCUGUGCCGUAGCUAACGCAUUANGUGCCCCGCCNGGGAGUACGGCCGCAAGGCUAAAACUCAAAGGAAUUGACGG